Catharus ustulatus (Swainson's thrush) is the source of this 2999-nucleotide long non-coding RNA. RefSeq lists it as uncharacterized. Lineage: Eukaryota; Metazoa; Chordata; Aves; Passeriformes; Turdidae. The transcript is spliced from 6 exons. The record is from RefSeq and is a predicted model, not a curated record.
CUCUCCUGCUGUCCCCUCUCUAAUGCUGUGCUGGCACCGAGUCACCUCAUUCUGAUUUAACCUGUCCUGAAAAAUGCUUAAAUGACAAAUGGGACCACAGAAUGGGCAUGAGAACCUUCAUGUUCCUAAGGGAAUGCUUUAGCUUCUGAACUGCACAAAUAAUUCCCUUUCCCACAGAAAGCUGCUGGGCUGUGGUUCUGGGGCAGGAGUCUUGGCAUUUUCAGUGCCACCUUCACAGGGAUUUCUUUUCCUUGGAGCUCUUGGGAUCGGGAGGAAAUGCUGUUCAUGCCCCACUGGGAAAGCACGCAGCAGGAUCAGUGGUGCAGCUGUGUCUUUGUCCUGCUCUCUGCACUGUUCCAAGGAUGCCCUGGAGUGCUCUGGCUCAUGGCAGGAUAAUCUGUGCGUGCUACUGGGUCACUCACUGGGCAUCCCAUGGAAUCCUUGAGGUUGGAAAAGCCCUUUGUGAUGCUGAAAUACCCCCAAGAGAAACCUUUCCAAGCUGGAAGCAAAGUGGCAGGGAGGGAAUCCCAGGAGGGUGGUGGGAACAGCGUUUUCCCAGGUCUGGACACCGUCAGGGCAGGGGUGAUUUUGAAAUGUUUGUCUGCAUCUCCCUCCCUACACGAGAGCUGCCUCAGCCUGGAUGAGUGUGAGGGUAUCUCGCUCUUCCUUAGGGCUUGGAGCGUGGCAGGGUGCAGAGCUCAUGGUAAACCUUGUUUAAACACUUCUAAUAUCAAAGCGUAUUGAAACAGAGACUUUGAGGAAAUAGCACACAAAAGUCUAUUGCAAGCCUAGGUACAAGCUGUCCUUAUUAAAGAUCCACGUUGAUGGAUGUUUUGUCUAACCACUCUGAGGCCAGAAUGUGUCCAGAAGCUUUGUUAACCCCUUGUCCUCUGCUGGUAGGGACAGCGUCUUAGCCCAGGUCUCGGGGGCUGUGUGCAGAUUCCUCCCUGGAGCAGGGAACCCCCGUGAGGAGGAGCCAGAGAUGGGGACAUCGAACCAGAAAUGCUCAUCUGAGUGUGCACCCGCUUCCUGGCAAAUCCAGAUGUCACCUGGAAAUGCUAAGUGAGGAUUUCCAGCCUUGACUACAGGGGAGACAGCCUUCUGAAAAUGGAACUAACCUUGGCAGAAGAGCAGCUGUGAAGGGAAUCAAAACAAAAACACAGGACAGGAAAAAUCAUUACACUUCUCCUGUCUUUGCCCAGAUCUGUGGUGUUUGAGCAGCCAAAGCCAAGAGGCUUCAGCACCAGGGCUCUACCCUGGAGGGCUCCUGCUCCUGCCCCUGCUGUGGGGUCAGCAGGAACAAGAGGAAAUGGCGUGCCAGAGCCCUGUCCCAUCAGGCUGAGUUUCCCUCCGAGGACAGAGAGUCCAGGCUGAGGGAGAAGAACACAAACUCACAGCCAUUCAGGCCUGGCAGUCCCCUGCAGUGAGAGCUCAGCACACAUCCACAGAGACAAGUCCAGCAUCUGAAAGAAAACAAAGCAGAAGAAAAAGAGCUGCCCUUGAACACCAGCUGUGCCAGGAACGGGCAGAGAUUCCAAGGAAGCUCAGCAGCAUCCGGACAGGGACAGGUGAAUAUUCCAAAGAGUUUAUUGUUUGAAAUCCACAUCCCCCAGCGCCACCCAUGUGCCUGAGGGCCCUGGACAGAGUUGCCUGGAAUUCAGCUGAUUCAACCCCCUGAGCAAGGGCUCCAGGUGAUGUUUUCAAGCAGGAGAAGGCAGGGGUGGAGGCGCUCCCGGCCCAUUCCAGGGCAGCCCCGUGCACAUAGGAGGACAUCUCUCCCUGCAGAAGUUCAGUUCCUUUCAGGGCCUCAGCAGUGACCUCAGGAAAGGGGUGCACAUCUCUGCCUUCAGCACACCCCCAGUGGGACCCACCUGCAAAAGCUUUCCAUCCCUUCUGCACUUCCAGCUGGCUCCCUGGAAAACUCCCACCUUCACCCAAACAAAACUUCAUCCCACCCACACCUUUGAUUUUCGGUCAUCUCUGCAGGCUGCUGCUUGGGAUUUAGUAUCUCUAACAGAAGAUUGCCUUGGCUUUAAUGCUGCUGCUGGGUGAUGGCCUCAGGCUGGAAGGGAAGGGAUUUGGGGUGGCCAGGACAUACCUGGCAGCUGUGUGGGAGCUCUGGAAAGUCAGAACCAGGAAUUGCUGCCUGAGACCCUCUGCAGGCAGCCUGUGCUGCCAUCACCAGGGAAUUCCAGCUGUUCUUUGGGGUGUUCUUAGGGUGUCCCUGGCUUCUGUCCAGGCUGAAGCAUCUCCAAGUGCCUGUUCAGAGCAGCCCCUGGCCCAGCAGCCGCAGGCAGCCGUUGAGCUGUGUCCGUGCCAGCGCUGCCCGGGCACCCCAGCGCCCAUCCCUGGGGUGUGUUUGGCACAGGCAGGACACCGCAGAGCCCAAGGACAAGAGGUGCUGGUUGCCUUCCAGGGGCUCCCGGCCUCCUCCUACCCCACAUUCCCUGCCAGCUGAGACAACUAACACCAAGGAACGUUGCUGGCAGUGAGCAGGGGACACUGAGAAGCCUUUGUGCAGCUCUGGGCCACAAAAGCAGCCCCAGCUUCAGCAGCUACCAUCAUUUUAGCAACACUCACCUGCAGGAAAUGCCCCCUGCCACUCUCCAGGAGAAUUUUGGUCAUGCAGCAAGGACAGCCUCAGGACUUGUCCUACUCAUGUCUCCCUGAAAAAAGACAUUGCAAGAGUACAUUAACAGCUGCUGAGUAAUUCCUGGAAAGGGCAGGAAAAUCAGGGUUAUGGGAAGAGUUUGGUGCUGUUGUGUUGGCUGCCAGCCAGUUCUACCUUACAGCCAUAGCAGGGGCUGGUGUGUAAAGCAGCUUCAGCAGAAAAGAAGGAGCUGCAGUUCCUUUGCUGGUGCUCGGGAUUCUCCUCCUUGCGAGGUGCAUACUUGUGACCCAGAGAUUGGUUUGGUCGAUUGGACCCCAAUAGAUCCUGUGAUCUGAAAAUAAAGAAGAAAACUCUCAGCUGAGUUUCAGUAAACGAGGUUUUGCCCUUA